RNAcentral lists this ribosomal RNA (397 nucleotides) under uncultured bacterium. RNAcentral describes it as "partial 16S ribosomal RNA". It matches the Rfam family "Bacterial small subunit ribosomal RNA", at positions 523 to 918 of the family's 1533-position model. The record is from RNAcentral.
AUACGUAGGGGGCGAGCGUUGUCCGGAAUGAUUGGGCGUAAAGGGCGCGUAGGCGGCGCGGUAAGUCUGGAGUGAAAGUCCUGCUUUCAAGGUGGAAAUUGCUUUGGAUACUGCCGCGCUUGAGUGCAGGAGAGGUUAUCGGAAUUCCCGGUGUAGCGGUGAAAUGCGUAGAGAUCGGGAGGAACACCAGUGGCGAAGGCGGGUAACUGGACUGCAACUGACGCUGAGGCGCGAAAGUGUGGGGAGCAAACGGGAUUAGAUACCCUGGUAGUCCACACUGUAAACGAUGAAUGCUAGGUGUAAGAGGUAUCGACCCCUUUUGUGCCGGAGUCAACACAAUAAGCAUUCCGCCUGGGGAGUACGGCCGCAAGGUUGAAACUCAAAGGAAUUGGCGGGG